UAAGCAUAUCAAUAAGCGGAGGAAAAGAAACCAACCGGGGAUUGCCCCAGUAACGGCGAGUGAAGCGGCAAGAGCUCAAAUUUGAAAUCUGGCCCCUCCGGGGUCCGAGUUGUAAUUUGCAGAGGAUGCUUCGGGUGCGGCCCCUGUCUAAGUGCCCUGGAACGGGCCGUCAGAGAGGGUGAGAAUCCCGUCUUGGGCAGGGUGCCCGUGCCCGUGUGAAGCUCCUUCGACGAGUCGAGUUGUUUGGGAAUGCAGCUCUAAAUGGGUGGUAAAUUUCAUCUAAAGCUAAAUACCGGCCGGAGACCGAUAGCGCACAAGUAGAGUGAUCGAAAGAUGAAAAGCACUUUGAAAAGAGAGUUAAACAGCACGUGAAAUUGUUGAAAGGGAAGCGCUUGCGACCAGACUCGGCCUCGGGGUUCAGCCAGCAUUCGUGCUGGUGUACUUCCCCGGGGCCGGGCCAGCGUCGGUUCGGGCGGCCGGUCAAAGGCCCCAGGAAUGUAUCGUCCUCCGGGACGUCUUAUAGCCUGGGGUGCAAUGCGGCCAGCCUGGACCGAGGAACGCGCUUCGGCACGGACGCUGGCGUAAUGGUUGCAAACGACCCGUCUUGAAACACGGACCAAGGAGUCUAACAUCUACGCGAGUGUUCGGGUGUCAAACCCGUACGCGCAGUGAAAGCGAACGGAGGUGGGAGCCCCUUUGGGGCGCACCAUCGACCGAUCCUGAUGUCUUCGGAUGGAUUUGAGUACGAGCGUAGCUGUGGGGACCCGAAAGAUGGUGAACUAUGCCUGAAUAGGGCGAAAGCCAGAGGAAACUCUGNUGGAGGCUCCUAGCGGUNCU
This 837-nucleotide ribosomal RNA is filed under the name Aspergillus sp. RNAcentral's name for it is "partial large subunit ribosomal RNA". It matches the Rfam family "Eukaryotic large subunit ribosomal RNA", at positions 35 to 887 of the family's 3401-position model. Lineage: Eukaryota; Fungi; Ascomycota; Eurotiomycetes; Eurotiales; Aspergillaceae. The record is from RNAcentral.